Molecule: long non-coding RNA, 1491 nt
Filed under: Mytilus galloprovincialis (Mediterranean mussel)
Lineage: Eukaryota; Metazoa; Mollusca; Bivalvia; Mytilida; Mytilidae
Source: RNAcentral
GAAAAAUUGUAUUUCGAGAACCAGAAGUCGUAGAGACUUGGGACCUUCACCAAUAAUCUUUAAUUCAUGUGACCUUUAAUAUGCAGUCAAGGUCAAAGGUCACUGAGUGCAAAAAAAAAUUACGCUGCAAUUUCAAGCUUACAUAUUAGGAAAACGAUAAGACUUUGCUGCAUACAUACAGCGUAUAAAAUGUUCCUCUCGACGAGCUCUACAUUUUAUAUGAUAAGUCAAAAAUGUCCGACUGUCUGUUCAAAAGUUACAACGGGAUGAUUCUUAAAAGUAUAGUAUUUUGUGUAUAUCUUUUUAAAGGUAACAGAUAUCAACCUACUAUAAACUGCAAAGAUGAUCAGUAAUUCAAGACCUUCAAUUUGAGGUCAAUGUCAGGUCAUGAUGAAAUUUCACCUUGACCUUCACAUUAUACUAUGACCUUGACCUUGUGAUAUUUGAAAGGUCAAGUGGUCCUGAGUUGAAUGGUGGUAGUCCCAUGUCUCUACGACUUCCGGUUCUCAAGUUUGGUAUUGCAUCAUAUAUAUUUGAUGAUUAAUUGUGACCUUGGUGAACUUUGAAAUUGUCCCAAUUCUUUUUCUAUAAUGUUGUCCUUUAACUGUAGAUCAUUUACCAUUUAACAGAUUUGAGAUAUCUAUUGUCGUUUUAGAGAUAAUGCAGUUUGAAAUUUUGCGAGCGGCGGCAUGUAUUUCUGAAUCAACAACAGCUUACCACUUAAAAUGUUUAAGAAAUUGAAGAGGUUAACAUAGUUAUAUGUUUGACCAAAUACCAAAAACAUUCCAUUGAAAAAAACACCAAAAAAUCAAUUUGAAAUUUUCAUGUUUUGCAUUGACUUUGUAAGUUUCAUAACUUCUAUUUAUAUAGUUGAUAUUGCAUCAUUUUUGGCACUUUGUCAAAUGGGGUCAUCUGAUAUAUCAAAUUGAAGGUCUUCAAUAAACUCUACUUAAAAAUGAAAAUUUUAAACCUCUUUUUCAUCCCAGGUGGAAGGGUGGGGUCAUUUAGUGCAAAAAUUCAAAUUUCUCAGAUGGUAAGGUUGUCGCAUAUCAAAUGAAAGAACAUAAAGCGUACAUUUCAAAUUUCAAAUUGACGUCCCCCAAAAAAUUGGUUGGAUGGGGUCAUUGAGUGCAAAAAAAAAAAUUUUUUACGAUAGGGUUGUUGUAUAUCAAAUGAAAGGUCAUGAUGUGUACAUUUGAAAUAUCAAAUUCCCAACCUCCAAAAAUUGGUUGGAUGGGGUUAUUAAGUGCAAAAAUCAAACUUUCUAGAACAUGGCGUUGUCGCAUAUCAAAUGAAAGCUCAUCUACCCUGUGUUACAUAUAUCAUACUUCCGAUCUCAAAAAUGUAGGCGGAUGAGGUCAUUAAGUGUAAAAAGCGAAAAGUUUCAGAAGGUAUGCUUGUCGUAUAUCAAACGAAAGGUCGUACAAAGAACAUUACGAAAACAUCACUUUUACAGGAAAGACCUUUCAAUUGUUUUACAAACAAUUGAGA